RNAcentral lists this non-coding RNA (148 nucleotides) under Pan paniscus (pygmy chimpanzee). RNAcentral also lists the same sequence under 1 other name. Lineage: Eukaryota; Metazoa; Chordata; Mammalia; Primates; Hominidae. The record is from Rfam by way of RNAcentral.
GCCGGGCGUAGUGAUGUGCGCCAGUAAUCCCAGCUACUCAGGAGGCUGAGGCACAAGAAUCACUUGAGCCCAGGAGGUGGAGGUUGCAGUGAGCCGAGAUCGCACCACUGUACUUCAUCCUGGGCAACAGAGUGAGACUCUGUCUCAA